AUGGCCCACGUCCUCGCCGCCGCCGAGCCCCUCACCCUCCUCAAGCGCCCGCCGCCGCAGAACGACGGCUUCGGCGACGACAACGGCAGCACGGAGGAGAAGGCGCCCAAGGCGCGCCGCCGGGAGUCGGACCCGGCGGCGGCACUGGCCGCGGCGCGGCAUGAGUUCGGGGAGCACGGCGGCGUGAACAUGUCCAUCGAGGCCUCGGCCACGUUCACCGUGAUGGAGCCGGACACCAUGCGCCGGCUCUUCACGGGGGAGCUGGGCCCGGAGCGCGGCGACCUGUACAUCUACAGCCGCCACUUCAACCCGACGGUGCUGGCGCUGGGGCGGCAGAUGGCCGCGCUGGAGGGGACCGAGGCCGCCUACUGCACGGCGUCCGGCAUGUCGGCCAUCUCCUGCGUGCUGAUGCAGCUGGUGGGCGCCGGCGGGCACGUGGUGGCGUCGCGCUGCCUGUACGGCGGCACCCACGCGCUGCUGUCCCGGUUCCUGCCGCGCACCUCCGGCGUGCAGGCGACGUUCGUGGAUGCGGACGACGAGGCGGCCGUGCGCGCGGCCAUAAGGCCGGGGGAGACGCGGGUGGUGUACGUGGAGACGAUGUCGAACCCGACGCUGGCCGUGGCCGACAUCCCGAUGCUGGCGCGGGUGGCGCACGAGGCCGGGGCCAAGCUGGUGGUGGACAACACCUUCACCCCCGUCGUCGUCUCGCCCGCGCGGCUCGGCGCCGACAUCGUCGUCCACAGCGUGUCCAAGUUCAUCAGCGGCGGCGCCGACAUCAUCGCCGGUGCGAUCUGCGGGCCGGCGAGCCUGGUGAACUCCAUGAUGGACCUGCAGGACGGCGCGCUGAUGCUGCUGGGCCCGACGAUGAACGCCAAGGUGGCGUCCGAGCUGGCGGCGCGCCUCCCGCACCUGCCGCUGCGGAUGCAGGAGCACUCGCGGCGCGCCGCCGAGUUCGCGGCCCGGAUGCGGCGCCAGGGCCUGCGCGUCACCUACCCGGGCCUGCCCGACCACCCGCACCACGCCAGGCUGCGCGCCAUGGGCAACCCGGGCUACGGCGCCGGCGGCAUGCUGUGCCUCGACAUGGGCACCGAGGAGCGCGCCAACCGCCUCAUGUACCACCUGCAGAACACCACCCAGUUCGGCCUCAUGGCCGUCAGCCUCGGCUUCUACGACACCCUCAUGUCCUGCUCCGGCAACAGCACCAGCAGCGAGAUGGACCCGGAGGACCGCGCCCGCGCCGGCAUCUCCCCCGGCCUCAUCCGCAUGUCCGUCGGCUACAACGGCACCUUGGAGCAGCGCUGGGCGCAGUUCGAGCGCGCCCUCGCGCUCAUGCAGCAGCAGGACACCCCCGCCGCCGCCGGCAAGUACGGCAAGCCCGUCUGA
Molecule: ribosomal RNA, 1383 nt
Filed under: Triticum aestivum (bread wheat)
Lineage: Eukaryota; Viridiplantae; Streptophyta; Magnoliopsida; Poales; Poaceae
Description: partial small subunit ribosomal RNA
Source: RNAcentral